RNAcentral lists this ribosomal RNA (77 nucleotides) under uncultured Cenococcum. RNAcentral describes it as "partial 5.8S ribosomal RNA". It matches the Rfam family "5.8S ribosomal RNA", at positions 1 to 76 of the family's 154-position model. Rfam says of the family: 5.8S ribosomal RNA (5.8S rRNA) is a component of the large subunit of the eukaryotic ribosome. It is transcribed by RNA polymerase I as part of the 45S precursor that also contains 18S and 28S rRNA. Functionally, it is thought that 5.8S rRNA may be involved in ribosome translocation. The record is from RNAcentral. Lineage: Eukaryota; Fungi; Ascomycota; Dothideomycetes; Gloniales; Gloniaceae.
AAACUUUCAACAACGGAUCUCUUGGUUCUGGCAUCGAUGAAGAACGCAGCGAAAUGCGAUAAGUAGUGUGAAUUGCA